Molecule: unclassified non-coding RNA, 200 nt
Filed under: soil metagenome
Description: partial contains internal transcribed spacer 2 and large subunit ribosomal RNA
Source: RNAcentral
CACCACUCAAGCACUGCUUGGUAUUAGGCCAUCGUCCCCCGCAAGGUGGGCGUGCCUCAAACACCUCGGCGGAGCUCACCGGCUUUGGGCGUAGUAGAAUUUCUCAACGUCUUACAAGUACCGGUUUGACUCUUUUGCCGCUAAACACCAAACUUUUAAAGGUUGACCUCGGAUCAGGUAGGGAUACCCGCUGAACUUAA